UGGGGAAUCUUCCGCAAUGGACGAAAGUCUGACGGAGCGACGCCGCGUGAGUGAUGAAGGCCUUCGGGUCGUAAAGCUCUGUCAUCGGGGACGAACGGCCUCAGCAGGUAAUGGCUGGGGAUUGACGGUACCCGAGAAGGAAGCCACGGCUAACUACGUGCCAGCAGCCGCGGUAAUACGUAGGUGGCAAGCGUUGUCCGGAAUUAUUGGGCGUAAAGCGCGCGCAGGUGGGAUCUUAAGUCCAUUUUGAAAGUUCGGAGCUCAACUCCGUGAUGGGAUGGAAACUGGGAUUCUUGAGUACCGGAGAGGAAAGCGGAAUUCCCCGUGUAGCGGUGAAAUGCGUAGAUAUGGGGAGGAACACCAGUGGCGAAGGCGGCUUUCUGGACGGUGUCUGACACUGAGGCGCGAAAGCCAGGGGAGCGAACGGG
This 428-nucleotide ribosomal RNA is filed under the name uncultured bacterium. RNAcentral's name for it is "bacterial SSU rRNA". It matches the Rfam family "Bacterial small subunit ribosomal RNA", at positions 355 to 776 of the family's 1533-position model. The record is from RNAcentral.